Molecule: transfer RNA, 184 nt
Filed under: Microcaldota archaeon
Lineage: Archaea; Nanobdellati; Microcaldota
Description: tRNA-OTHER
Source: RNAcentral
GGGCCUGUAGCUUAGCCUGGUUGGAGCGUUCGUUGACAUCCCUUUUCUUGGGAAGAAAAGGUCCGUCACCCCCAAAAGAACUUUGGGAGACGGCCGAAACCCAAAAAGAAAAGGGAAGCCAAACGAUACUGAUACCGGGCUUUUGGAAAUCGAAAGGUCCGCGGUUCAAAUCCGCGCAGGCCCA